UUNUUUGAUAGUCCCUUACUACUUGGAUACCGUAGUAAUUCUAGAGCUAAUACAUGCGUCAAGAUCCGACUUCGGGAGGAUCGUAUUUAUUANGNUACNAAAACCAACCCUCUCUCGGGGAGGGUCUCUGGGGGGAGUCAUGAUAAGCAUGNGGAUCGC
This 159-nucleotide ribosomal RNA is filed under the name uncultured eukaryote. RNAcentral describes it as "partial 18S ribosomal RNA". The record is from RNAcentral.